AUUGAACGCUGGCGGAAUGCUUUACACAUGCAAGUCGAGCGGCAGCACGGGGGCAACCCUGGUGGCGAGCGGCGAACGGGUGAGUAACACAUCGGAACAUGCCCAGUCGUGGGGGAUAACACUUCGAAAGAAGUGCUAAUACCGCAUACGUCCUGAGGGAGAAAGCGGGGGAUCGCAAGACCUCGCGCGAUUGGAGUGGCCGAUGUCAGAUUAGCUAGUUGGUGGGGUAAAGGCCUACCAAGGCAACGAUCUGUAGCUGGUCUGAGAGGAUGAUCAGCCACACUGGGACUGAGACACGGCCCAGACUCCGACGGGAGGCAGCAGUGGGGAAUUUUGGACAAUGGGGGCAACCCUGAUCCAGCCAUUCCGCGUGAGUGAAGAAGGCCUUCGGGUUGUAAAGCUCUUUCGGCAGGAACGAAACGGUGAGCUCUAACAUAGCUUGCUAAUGACGGUACCUGAAGAAGAAGCACCGGCUACUACGUG
Molecule: ribosomal RNA, 483 nt
Filed under: uncultured bacterium
Lineage: Bacteria
Description: partial 16S ribosomal RNA
Rfam family: Bacterial small subunit ribosomal RNA
Source: RNAcentral